This 235-nucleotide ribosomal RNA is filed under the name uncultured bacterium. Its description in RNAcentral is "partial 16S ribosomal RNA". It matches the Rfam family "Bacterial small subunit ribosomal RNA", at positions 118 to 347 of the family's 1533-position model. The record is from RNAcentral.
UGAGUAACCUGCCCUUAACUCUGGGAUAAGCCUGGGAAACUGGGUCUAAUACCGGAUAUGACUCCUCAUCGCAUGGUGGGGGGUGGAAAGCUUUAUUGUGGUUUUGGAUGGACUCGCGGCCUAUCAGCUAGUUGGUGUGGGUAAUGGCCCACCAAGGCGACGACGGGUAGCCGGCCUGAGAGGGUGACCGGCCACACUGGGACUGAGACACGGCCCAGACCUCCUACGGGAGCAG